RNAcentral lists this small RNA (386 nucleotides) under Pan troglodytes (chimpanzee). RNAcentral's name for it is "retained intron". Lineage: Eukaryota; Metazoa; Chordata; Mammalia; Primates; Hominidae. The record is from RNAcentral.
CUGCACACGGGGAGUGGGCUUCCCUUCUCUUUUCCUUGCAGGAUCAUACCAGUGGGCCAGUUUUGACUUGGUGGGGAGGAGGCAUGAACACCUGAGACUGUGCAGCGAUUCUUUGACACAGAGGCCUUUCUCCCUGUGCAGAUGUGUGGGGUGAUGCUGUCUGGAAGUGAGGAGUCCACCCCCUCCAUCAUUUACCACUGUGCCCUCAGAGGCCUGGAGCGCCUCCUGCUCUCUGAGCAGCUCUCCCGCCUGGAUGCAGAAUCGCUGGUCAAGCUGAGUGUGGACAGAGUGAACGUGCACAGCCCGCACCGGGCCAUGGCGGCUCUGGGCCUGAUGCUCACCUGCAUGUACACAGGAAAGGAGAAAGUCAGUCCGGGUAGAACUUC